Long non-coding RNA from Engraulis encrasicolus (European anchovy), 1023 nucleotides. RefSeq lists it as uncharacterized. The transcript has 5 exons. The record is from RefSeq and is a predicted model, not a curated record. Lineage: Eukaryota; Metazoa; Chordata; Actinopteri; Clupeiformes; Engraulidae.
UACUCACAUGUGGUAGUCCCCGGCGACCACAGGAGUUUUGUUAGUCUUAUUUUGCGUUUUCUCUACAGACUCGUGCAUGUAUUCGCUCGCUGAUUAGUCUUUGCUCAUUGAAUUACACCCCCUAGGCAUUGCUUUGAGAAUGGCUGCGUCAAAGGGAUCCAUAGUUCUUACCCCUGUGCCUCGUGUAACCAUGUCCAACAUCAUGGUUGUAGGAGUGAAGUGCUGUAGGAGUGUCGGGUAGUUUUAGUAUUGAAAUCUAGAGGGCAUACCGGUAUGCACUUUCUGGAUUUAUCUAUGAAGGGGAUUCUCAUGCAUCUCAGCAGUAUGGAUGAGUGUGGGCGACGUCUUGCAAACAAAGGUCAGUCCUCGGACCCGGGAGACCCACAUGUGGCGGAAGGCCUGCGGAAGCAAUAGCCGCUCGCCUGCCGUGCCGUGGCCCGUGCUCUGCAGUUGGACGCCGAGUGGAAAAAGUUCACCAUGGCUUCUCCACGAGGAGACGAGUUGGACACCAUUUGGAGUGGAGUUCCUACAGGAAACGUUCUUCAGUAAGUCGAUUUUGACAAGUGACUACAAAUAAGAAGUCUUGGCAAUUACGAAUUGUGCACAUGCUAUAGGCCUACUGUGACUUGUUGUGACCCGUCUUUCAAUGAUGAGAACUCAACCAGUUCUGCUGCUGAGUGAUCAGUGAUGCUACUUCAGAUCUGAGAAGGACAAUAUUGUCAAAAUGGAAAUCAUUUCAGGGUAUGGUGAAUGGGGUUCAUGACCAAGUAUGUGCAUCUUCAUGUUUACAGGAUUAGGACAUACUUGACGGGAAUCCAAGCCAACCAGUUCAUCUUUGAAGUUAUCCAGAUUAGGAUGUCCUUGAUGGGAAGCCAAGACGGGCAGUUGGACGAGCAGAAUUUAUUCAAUCCCGGAGACGCCCCGUGUACCCAGAUGCGUGACUCGAGGAAGACUGAAGACAAGGCUCUAGUGAGGUGGACAGAGGGGCACCGUGUUUCUUAAUAAAUGUUGCAUAAAAACUUG